GAUGAACGCUAGCUACAGGCUUAACAUAUGCAAGUCGCGGGGCAGCAUGGGGGUUGCUUGCAAUCCCCGAUGGCGACCGGCGCACGGGUGAGUAACGCGUAUCCAACCUGCCCUUCACCACGGGAUAACCCGGCGAAAGUCGGACUAAUACCGUAUGUUGUCCAUUGACGGCAUCCGAUUUGGACGAAAGGCUUGGCGGUGAGGGAUGGGGAUGCGUCCGAUUAGCCAGACGGCGGGGUAACGGCCCACCGUGGCUACGAUCGGUAGGGGUUCUGAGAGGAAGGUCCCCCACACUGGAACUGAGACACGGUCCAGACUCCUACGGGAGGCAGCAGUGAGGAAUAUUGGUCAAUGGGCGUAAGCCUGAACCAGCCAAGUAGCGUGCAGGAUGACGGCCCUAUGGGUUGUAAACUGCUUUUAUGCGGGGAUAAAGUGGCCCACGUGUGGGCUUUUGCAGGUACCGCAUGAAUAAGGACCGGCUAAUUCCGUG
RNAcentral lists this ribosomal RNA (490 nucleotides) under uncultured bacterium. RNAcentral describes it as "partial 16S ribosomal RNA". It matches the Rfam family "Bacterial small subunit ribosomal RNA", at positions 28 to 507 of the family's 1533-position model. The record is from RNAcentral.